Non-coding RNA from Triticum aestivum (bread wheat), 135 nucleotides. Lineage: Eukaryota; Viridiplantae; Streptophyta; Magnoliopsida; Poales; Poaceae. The record is from Rfam.
UUUGUACUCCUUCCGUUUCGAAUUAUUUGUCUUUGAUUUGUCUAGAUACGGAGGUAUCUAGCACUAAAAUAUGUCUAGAUACAUUUGUAUCUACACAAAUUCAAGACAAGUAAUUGGGAACGGAAUGAGUACUAU